RNAcentral lists this transfer RNA (70 nucleotides) under Helophorus sp. BMNH 724835. RNAcentral's name for it is "tRNA-Trp". Lineage: Eukaryota; Metazoa; Arthropoda; Insecta; Coleoptera; Helophoridae. The record is from RNAcentral.
AAGGAUUUAAGUUAAAUUAAACUUGAAGCCUUCAAAGCUUCCAAUAAGGACCCCCCCCCCUUAAGCCUUA